AAUUUGAAUCUGGCGUAUGCCUGAGUUGUAAUUUGAAGAGGAUGUCUUUUGCUUUAACUUGGGGUUUAAGUCUUCUGGAACGUAGCAUCAUGGAGGGUAAUAAUCCCGUAUGUGAUUCCAGGUUUUUUAAAGCAAUAUAAGACUCCUUCAAUGAGUCGAGUUGUUUGGGAAUGCAGCUCUAAAUGGGAGGUAAAUUUCUUCUAAAGCUAAAUAUAGGCUAGAGACCGAUAGUGAACAAGUAGAGUGAUCGAAAGAUGAAAAGUCCUUUGGAAAGAGAGUUAAAUAGUAUGUGAAAUUGUUGGAAGGGAAGCAUUUGCAAUCAGAUUUGUGUUGUUAAAAUUCACCUACACUUUAUGUGCUUAGAGCAUUUUUUUUCAACACUUGUCAACAUCAAUUUGAGUAGUGAUAUAAUCUUGGAUGAAAUGUAGCUCAUUGAGUGUUAUAGUUGUCCUUUGUUUAUCACUUACUUAAAUUGAGGCUUGCGAUUAUCAUGGAUGUUGACUUAAUGGUUGUAAGUGGCCCGUCUUGAA
This 530-nucleotide ribosomal RNA is filed under the name Gloeandromyces streblae. Its description in RNAcentral is "partial large subunit ribosomal RNA". It matches the Rfam family "Eukaryotic large subunit ribosomal RNA", at positions 113 to 658 of the family's 3401-position model. RNAcentral also lists the same sequence under 1 other name. The record is from RNAcentral. Lineage: Eukaryota; Fungi; Ascomycota; Laboulbeniomycetes; Laboulbeniales; Laboulbeniaceae.